Molecule: ribosomal RNA, 460 nt
Filed under: uncultured bacterium
Lineage: Bacteria
Description: partial 16S ribosomal RNA
Rfam family: Bacterial small subunit ribosomal RNA
Source: RNAcentral
CCUACGGGCGACAGCAGUGAGGAAUAUUGGUCAAUGGACGAGAGUCUGAACCAGCCAAGUAGCGUGAAGGAUGACUGCCCUAUGGGUUGUAAACUUCUUUUAUCUGGGAAUAAAAUGUUCCACGUGUGGGAUUUUGUAUGUACCAUAUGAAUAAGGAUCGGCUAACUCCGUUCCAGCAGCCGCGGUAAUACGGAGGAUCCGAGCGUUAUCCGGAUUUAUUGGGUUUAAAGGGAGAGUAGGUGGAUUGUUAAGUCAGUUGUGAAAGUUUGCGGCUCAACCGUAAAAUUGCAGUUGAAACUGGCAGUCUUGAGUACAGUAGAGGUGGGCGGAAGUCGUGGUGUAGCGGUGAAAUGCUUAGAUAUCACGAAGAACUCCGAUUGCGAAGGCAGUUCACUGGACUGCAACUGACACUGAGGCUCGAAAGUGUGGGUAUCAAACAGGAUUAGAUACCCCUGUAGUG